GCCGAGAUAGUCUAGUGGUUAUGACGUCUACCUUACACGCAGAAGGUCGCGAGUUUGAUCCUCUCACCUGGUA
This 73-nucleotide transfer RNA is filed under the name Perkinsus olseni. It matches the Rfam family "tRNA". Rfam says of the family: Transfer RNA (tRNA) molecules are approximately 80 nucleotides in length. Their secondary structure includes four short double-helical elements and three loops (D, anti-codon, and T loops). The record is from Rfam by way of RNAcentral. Lineage: Eukaryota; Perkinsozoa; Perkinsida; Perkinsidae.